AAAUGAUGAGAACACACAAAACAGCUGGAAUUACCGGCAGAUUGUGUAGUGGUGAACUUACGGUUUUCUGAGG
Molecule: small nucleolar RNA, 73 nt
Organism: Choloepus hoffmanni (Hoffmann's two-fingered sloth)
Lineage: Eukaryota; Metazoa; Chordata; Mammalia; Pilosa; Megalonychidae
Source: Ensembl